GGUUGGGCAAAAUGGCCUCCAGAGGUUUUUACCAAACUCAACCACUUUGUGAUUCCAUGAUUAUUGAAAGAAAAUUCACAUUUUCCAAGAUUCAUUUUUCUGUGAGUGACUACUAAGGAAGUAGUCUCAUUAAAAUAGCACUUUUUUUUUUUUUUUUUUUUUUUUUCCCCCCAGGUUUAUUUCAUUACGUUUAUGGAGUUGUAGGGUUUUUGUUUGUUUGUUUGUUUGAGAAUCUAUCAGACAUUCAAAGAUAUCUAAUCUGUUUUAAGCCUAUGAAGAGCAUUCAGGAAGCUGGCUCGUUACCCAAAGCAUGGAUGCAGUACCCAGGCCUAAGCUGCUCAGAGAGAAGCUGUGAGUUCUGCUGCAGUGAGAGAAGACAACUCUCAGUGAUGCCAGUGGGGUUUCUCUGUUCCAGGAACUGCCCAUCUUUGCUACAGACGCAUGCUGCUCAACCUUCAGUGUGUCAGGCUGCUCUUCAGAAUGACUUCAGUGCAGAACUGAUGUUCUCACAACUGCAGUUGUGCUCUGCUGCUGCUGCAGUUAUGUGCUCAACUUCACACUUCCCUUAGCACAUGCUACUUGAGAAAUCAUACUUCGAUACUGAAGUUAUAGAGAGAGGAGCAUUACAAGCAGAAGGUAAUUACCUCAGAGGUUGAGGCAUUUUAU
Molecule: long non-coding RNA, 666 nt
Filed under: Phasianus colchicus (ring-necked pheasant)
Lineage: Eukaryota; Metazoa; Chordata; Aves; Galliformes; Phasianidae
Description: lncRNA (ENSPCLG00000003794.1)
Source: RNAcentral